UACGUAGGGUGCGAGCGUUAAUCGGAAUUACUGGGCGUAAAGCGUGCGUAGGUGGUGAGUUAAGUCUGUCGUGAAAGCCCCGGGCUCAACCUGGGAAUUGCGAUGGAGACUGCAAGGCUUGAAUCUGGCAGAGGGGGGUAGAAUUCCACGUGUAGCAGUGAAAUGCGUAGAGAUGUGGAGGAACACCGAUGGCGAAGGCAGCCCCCCUGGGUCAAGAUUGACGCUCAUGCACGAAAGCGUGGGGAGCAAACAGG
This 254-nucleotide ribosomal RNA is filed under the name uncultured bacterium. RNAcentral describes it as "partial 16S ribosomal RNA". It matches the Rfam family "Bacterial small subunit ribosomal RNA", at positions 524 to 776 of the family's 1533-position model. The record is from RNAcentral.